UCUGCUAGUAUUGAUGAACAACAUGUUGAUACUCCUAAUAUUUAUGAUCCAAGAAAUUGGGAUAAUCUUGAUACUACAUCAAGAGACAUUUUAGUUGAGAAAGGGAUGGAGAGAGGAAAAAAAAUGGAAUAUCAUGUAGAUGAAGCAGGAAGACAUUUUUCAUAUGCUCAUUAUCAUAGGAAAUUAAGUAAUGGAGAGAAACAUCAUAGAAAGUGGCUAGUUUAUUCAAAAGAUCUCGACAAUUUUUUUGCUUCUCUUGUAAGAUCUUCUAUUGUAGUGUCUGCUAUGGAGAUUUUCGAGCAUGCCAGAGAAGUUGAUUGCUAUUCUAAUAUCCCCAUUGCUUAUCGCAUCUUAUUUACUAUGCCCGUCAUGGUUGCAUGGGCCGAACGAAGCUUUUCAAAGUUAAAAUUAUUGAAGAAUUAUUUGAGGUCAACAAUGACUCAGGAGAGGUUAAAUGGCUUUGCUGCAUUUUGCAGCGAGAAGAAAUUAUUGGAUGAGAUUGACAUCGACCCUAUCAUAAGUGACUUUGCAUCUAGGAACAUAGAAGAAAGUUUUAAGGUAAUAUGUAUAAAUUAUUUGAUUCAAAUACUAAUUUUGAAUUCAUUUAAUUGCUAUUGA
This 618-nucleotide ribosomal RNA is filed under the name Triticum aestivum (bread wheat). RNAcentral's name for it is "partial small subunit ribosomal RNA". Lineage: Eukaryota; Viridiplantae; Streptophyta; Magnoliopsida; Poales; Poaceae. The record is from RNAcentral.